Molecule: ribosomal RNA, 440 nt
Filed under: uncultured bacterium
Lineage: Bacteria
Description: partial 16S ribosomal RNA
Rfam family: Bacterial small subunit ribosomal RNA
Source: RNAcentral
CCUACGGGCGGCAGCAGUGGGGAAUAUUGCACAAUGGGGGAAACCCUGAUGCAGCAACGCCGCGUGAGUGAAGAAGUCAUUCGUGAUGUAAAGCUCUAUCAGCAGGGACGAAACUGACGGUACCUGACUAAGACUCCCCGGCUAACUCCGUUCCAGCCGCCGCGGUAAUACGGAGGGGGCCAGCGUUAUCCGGAUUUACUGGGUGUAAAGGGAGCGUAGACGGCGACGCAAGUCUGGAGGGAAAUGCCAGUGCUCAACACUGGAACUGCCGUGGAAACUGGGGAGCUUGAGUGCAGGAGAGGUAAGGGGAAUUCCUGGUGUAGCGGUGAAAUGCGUAGAUAUCAGGAGGAACACCGGUGGCGAAGGCGGCUUACUGGGCUGUAACUGACGUUGAGGCUCGAAGGCGUGGGGAGCAAACAGGAUUAGAUACCCUAGUAGUC